RNAcentral lists this ribosomal RNA (960 nucleotides) under Lactiplantibacillus plantarum. RNAcentral describes it as "bacterial SSU rRNA". It matches the Rfam family "Bacterial small subunit ribosomal RNA", at positions 378 to 1332 of the family's 1533-position model. The record is from RNAcentral. Lineage: Bacteria; Bacillati; Bacillota; Bacilli; Lactobacillales; Lactobacillaceae.
CGAGUCUGAUGGAGCACGCCGCGUGAGUGAAGAAGGGUUUCGGCUCGUAAAACUCUGUUGUUAAAGAAGAACAUAUCUGAGAGUAACUGUUCAGGUAUUGACGGUAUUUAACCAGAAAGCCACGGCUAACUACGUGCCAGCAGCCGCGGUAAUACGUAGGUGGCAAGCGUUGUCCGGAUUUAUUGGGCGUAAAGCGAGCGCAGGCGGUUUUUUAAGUCUGAUGUGAAAGCCUUCGGCUCAACCGAAGAAGUGCAUCGGAAACUGGGAAACUUGAGUGCAGAAGAGGACAGUGGAACUCCAUGUGUAGCGGUGAAAUGCGUAGAUAUAUGGAAGAACACCAGUGGCGAAGGCGGCUGUCUGGUCUGUAACUGACGCUGAGGCUCGAAAGUAUGGGUAGCAAACAGGAUUAGAUACCCUGGUAGUCCAUACCGUAAACGAUGAAUGCUAAGUGUUGGAGGGUUUCCGCCCUUCAGUGCUGCAGCUAACGCAUUAAGCAUUCCGCCUGGGGAGUACGGCCGCAAGGCUGAAACUCAAAGGAAUUGACGGGGGCCCGCACAAGCGGUGGAGCAUGUGGUUUAAUUCGAAGCUACGCGAAGAACCUUACCAGGUCUUGACAUACUAUGCAAAUCUAAGAGAUUAGACGUUCCCUUCGGGGACAUGGAUACAGGUGGUGCAUGGUUGUCGUCAGCUCGUGUCGUGAGAUGUUGGGUUAAGUCCCGCAACGAGCGCAACCCUUAUUAUCAGUUGCCAGCAUUAAGUUGGGCACUCUGGUGAGACUGCCGGUGACAAACCGGAGGAAGGUGGGGAUGACGUCAAAUCAUCAUGCCCCUUAUGACCUGGGCUACACACGUGCUACAAUGGAUGGUACAACGAGUUGCGAACUCGCGAGAGUAAGCUAAUCUCUUAAAGCCAUUCUCAGUUCGGAUUGUAGGCUGCAACUCGCCUACAUGAAGUCGGAAU